AAGGGAGCUGUCAUCUCCAUCUGACGUAUGAGGAAAUGGAGGCCCAGCAAGGCGGAGCCACUGCUCUCAAAUCAUGUUGCCUCUGAGUUGUGAAACUGGGGUUUGAAUCCACUGUGACAUGGCCGAGCUUCUACUCUUCUCCAGCACCAGGCUACAAAGAAGUGAAGCCAAGGAGGACUCUCCUUCUGCAGGCCAUCGAGGGACAUGGGACAAGGGGGAGAGCGCUGAGCGGGACUGUUAAACACCCCACAGAGCGCAAGACAGCCCCCACGCAAAGGAUCAACUCAGCUCACGUGUCAGCAGUACCGAAGGGCAGUACCGAGUCCGCGAGGUUGCAGCCGUACAACAGGCUGGAUUUGCCGUCUUUUUGCAGUGAGCUCUGGAUAAUGGCAUCAUUAACUCGGUUACGUGCCCAUUUGGCAGGGGAACAGGUGGGCAGCACAGAGGUAAUGGCGCUAGAAUGACGAGAAGAGCAAAAAGUAAAUUGUGUAAAGGUCCCAGAUGAUUAAACAAUUACUCUCUUUGUAGUUCAUAUUUUAGAGUAAACAGCAUUUACCCUUGACUGCAUGUUUUUUUCUGUCUCGGAAACUCUGCCUCUGCGGGCUGUGCGUGCGUCCCCUUUGUCCCCGAUGAAAUGAGAUCCCGCCCGGGACAGCCCGGUGGCCAGAGGCUGCUGAUCGGGCCAGACAGAAAAGGCCGCUGCCCUCCCGCUCCUGGUCCCUCGCACGUCAGCUCUGACUCCCAAGCGCGGGGCGCCCCUCGCUGCUCUCCGCCCGCUCAUUCAGGGGUUCACCUCCUCUCCCUAAUAUGUACCAAC
This 817-nucleotide long non-coding RNA is filed under the name Vulpes vulpes (red fox). Its description in RNAcentral is "lncRNA (ENSVVUG00000006424.1)". Lineage: Eukaryota; Metazoa; Chordata; Mammalia; Carnivora; Canidae. The record is from RNAcentral.